GUCGAACGGCAGCACGGGGGCAACCCUGGUGGCGAGUGGCGAACGGGUGAGUAAUACAUCGGAACGUGUCCUGUAGUGGGGGAUAGCCCGGCGAAAGCCGGAUUAAUACCGCAUACGAUCUACGGGAGAAAGCGGGGGAUCCUUCGGGACCUCGCGCUAUAGGGGCGGCCGAUGGCAGAUUAGCUAGUUGGUGGGGUAAGGGCCUACCAAGGCGACGAUCUGUAGCUGGUCUGAGAGGACGACCAGCCACACUGGGACUGAGACACGGCCCAGACUCCUACGGGAGGCAGCAGUGGGGAAUUUUGGACAAUGGGGGAAACCCUGAUCCAGCAAUGCCGCGUGUGUGAAGAAGGCCUUCGGGUUGUAAAGCACUUUUGUCCGGAAAGAAAACUUCUGCCCUAAUACGGUGGGAGGAUGACGGUACCGGAAGAAUAAGCACCGGCUAACUACGUGCCAGCAGCCGCGGUAAUACGUAGGGUGCGAGCGUUAAUCGGAAUUACUGGGCGUAAAGCGUGCGCAGGCGGUUCGUUAAGACAGAUGUGAAAUCCCCGGG
Molecule: ribosomal RNA, 553 nt
Filed under: uncultured bacterium
Lineage: Bacteria
Description: bacterial SSU rRNA
Rfam family: Bacterial small subunit ribosomal RNA
Source: RNAcentral